This 207-nucleotide ribosomal RNA is filed under the name uncultured bacterium. Its description in RNAcentral is "partial 16S ribosomal RNA". It matches the Rfam family "Bacterial small subunit ribosomal RNA", at positions 568 to 774 of the family's 1533-position model. The record is from RNAcentral.
UACGUAGGCGGCUUGAUAAGUCAGAUGUGAAAUCCCCGGGCUUAACCUGGGAACUGCAUUUGAAACUGUCUGGCUAGAGUGAGUGAGAGGUUAGUGGAAUUCAAGGCGUAGCGGUGAAAUGCGUAGAGGUCUUGAGGAACAUCAGUGGCGAAGGCGACUAACUGGCACUACACUGACGCUGAGGUACGAAAGCGUGGGGAGCGAACA